GCGGGUGUAGCUCAGUUGGUAGAGUGUCAGUUUGUGGCACUGAAGGUCGCCAGUUCAAUCCUGGUCACUCGCC
This 73-nucleotide transfer RNA is filed under the name Ehrlichia muris AS145. Its description in RNAcentral is "tRNA-His (GTG) (tRNA-His-GTG-1-1)". It matches the Rfam family "tRNA". Rfam says of the family: Transfer RNA (tRNA) molecules are approximately 80 nucleotides in length. The record is from RNAcentral. Lineage: Bacteria; Pseudomonadati; Pseudomonadota; Alphaproteobacteria; Rickettsiales; Anaplasmataceae.